CCCCACUAUGCCUAAUNGUAAACUUUUAUUUACAUCUAAAUCGCCAGGGAACUACGAGCUAAGCUUAAAACCCAAAGGACUUGACGGUACCCCAUAUCCCCCUAGAGGAGCCUGUCCUAUAAUCGAUAAUCCACGUUUAACCUCACCACUUUUUGUUAAUCAGCCUGUAUACCUCCGUCGCCAGCUUACCACGUGAGCGAUUGUUAGUGAGCUUAAUGUUCUUACACCAAUACGUCAGGUCAAGGUGCAGCAAAUGAAGCGGGAAGAGAUGGGCUACACUUUCUAUUAUAGAAGAAACGAAAAACUAUUUAUGAAAAUCUAGUUAGAAGGCGGAUUUAGCAGUAAAAAGAAAUCAGCAUGUUCUUUUUAACUCGGCACUGGGGUGUGU
This 388-nucleotide ribosomal RNA is filed under the name Peltophryne taladai (Cuban spotted toad). Its description in RNAcentral is "partial 12S ribosomal RNA". It matches the Rfam family "Bacterial small subunit ribosomal RNA", at positions 785 to 1384 of the family's 1533-position model. Lineage: Eukaryota; Metazoa; Chordata; Amphibia; Anura; Bufonidae. The record is from RNAcentral.